Molecule: ribosomal RNA, 429 nt
Filed under: uncultured bacterium
Lineage: Bacteria
Description: bacterial SSU rRNA
Rfam family: Bacterial small subunit ribosomal RNA
Source: RNAcentral
UGGCGGACGGGUGAGUAACACGUGAGGAACAUGCCUAUCGGCGGGGGAUAGCCGGCCCAACGGCCGGGUAAUACCGCGUACGCUCACUGGGGGGCAUCCCCUGGUGAGGAAAGCAGCAAUGCACCGAUAGAGUGCCUCGCGGCCUAUCAGCUAGUUGGUGAGGUAAUGGCUCACCAAGGCUACGACGGGUAGCUGGUCUGAGAGGAUGAUCAGCCACAUUGGGACUGAGACACGGCCCAGACUCCUACGGGAGGCAGCAGUGGGGAAUCUUGCGCAAUGGCCGAAAGGCUGACGCAGCGACGCCGCGUGUGGGAUGACGGCGCUUCGCGUCGUAAACCACUGUCGGACGGGACGAAAAGAGCUAUAAAGCUCCGAGACGGUACCGUCAAAGGAAGGAUCGGCUAACUACGUGCCAGCAGCCGCGGUAAU